This 253-nucleotide ribosomal RNA is filed under the name uncultured bacterium. RNAcentral's name for it is "partial 16S ribosomal RNA". It matches the Rfam family "Bacterial small subunit ribosomal RNA", at positions 524 to 776 of the family's 1533-position model. The record is from RNAcentral.
UACGAAGGGUGCAAACGUUGCUCGGAAUCAUUGGGCGUAAAGCGCACGUAGGCGGCUUGUUAAGUCGGACGUGAAAUCCCUCAGCUCAACUGAGGACGUGCAUCCGAAACUGGCGAGCUUGAGUACUGAAGAGGAUCGCGGAAUUCCCAGUGUAGAGGUGAAAUUCGUAGAUAUCGGGAGGAACACCAGUGGCGAAGGCGGCGAUCUGGGCAGAUACUGACGCUGAGGUGCGAAAGCGUGGGGAGCAAACAGG